GGUAGCCUACGGGGGGCAGCAGUGGGGAAUAUUGGGCAAUGGGCGCAAGCCUGACCCAGCAACGCCGCGUGAAGGAAGAAGGCUUUCGGGUUGUAAACUUCUUUUAAGAGGGAAGAGUAGAAGACGGUACCUCUUGAAUAAGCCACGGCUAACUACGUGCCAGCAGCCGCGGUAAUACGUAGGUGGCAAGCGUUGUCCGGAUUUACUGGGUGUAAAGGGCAUGAAGCCGGGCUGACAAGUCAGAUGUGAAAUCCCGCGGCUCAACCGCGGAACUGCAUUUGAAACUGUC
This 289-nucleotide ribosomal RNA is filed under the name uncultured bacterium. Its description in RNAcentral is "partial 16S ribosomal RNA". It matches the Rfam family "Bacterial small subunit ribosomal RNA", at positions 333 to 637 of the family's 1533-position model. The record is from RNAcentral.